Molecule: ribosomal RNA, 484 nt
Filed under: uncultured bacterium
Lineage: Bacteria
Description: partial 16S ribosomal RNA
Rfam family: Bacterial small subunit ribosomal RNA
Source: RNAcentral
AUUGAACGCUGGCGGCAGGCCUAACACAUGCAAGUCGAGCGGAUGAAGGGAGCUUGCUCCUGGAUUCAGCGGCGGACGGGUGGGUAAUGCCUAGGAAUCUGCCUGGUAGUGGGGGAUAACGUCCGGAAACGGGCGCUAAUACCGCAUACGUCCUGAGGGAGAAAGUGGGGGAUCUUCGGACCUCACGCUAUCAGAUGAGCCUAGGUCGGAUUAGCUAGUUGGUGGGGUAAAGGCCUACCAAGGCGACGAUCCGUAACUGGUCUGAGAGGAUGAUCAGUCACACUGGAACUGAGACACGGUCCAGGCUCCUACGGGAGGCAGCAGUGGGGAAUAUUGGACAAUGGGCGAAAGCCUGAUCCAGCCAUGCCGCGUGUGUGAAGAAGGUCUUCGGAUUGUAAAGCACUUUAAGUUGGGAGGAAGGGCAGUAAGUUAAUACCUUGCUGUUUUGACGUUACCAACAGAAUAAGCACCGGCUAACUUCGUG